GACGAACGCUGGCGGCGUGCCUAAUACAUGCAAGUCGAGCGAGCGGAACCAACAGAUUUACUUCGGUAAUGACGUUGGGAAAGCGAGCGGCGGAUGGGUGAGUAACACGUGGGGAACCUGCCCCUAAGUCUGGGAUACCAUUUGGAAACAGGUGCUAAUACCGGAUAAUAAAGCAGAUCGCAUGAUCAGCUUUUGAAAGGCGGCGUAAGCUGUCGCUAAGGGAUGGCCCCGCGGUGCAUUAGCUAGUUGGUAAGGUAACGGCUUACCAAGGCGACGAUGCAUAGCCGAGUUGAGAGACUGAUCGGCCACAUUGGGACUGAGACACGGCCCAAACUCCUACGGGAGGCAGCAGUAGGGAAUCUUCCACAAUGGACGCAAGUCUGAUGGAGCAACGCCGCGUGAGUGAAGAAGGUUUUCGGAUCGUAAAGCUCUGUUGUUGGUGAAGAAGGAUAGAGGUAGUAACUGGCCUUUAUUUGACGGUAAUCAACCAGAAAGUCACGGCUAACUACGUGCCAGCAGCCGCGGUAAUACGUAGGUGGCAAGCGUUGUCCGGAUUUAUUGGGCGUAAAGCGAGCGCAGGCGGAAAAAUAAGUCUAAUGUGAAAGCCCUCGGCUUAACCGAGGAACUGCAUCGGAAACUGUUUU
RNAcentral lists this ribosomal RNA (644 nucleotides) under uncultured Lactobacillus sp. Its description in RNAcentral is "bacterial SSU rRNA". It matches the Rfam family "Bacterial small subunit ribosomal RNA", at positions 28 to 639 of the family's 1533-position model. Lineage: Bacteria; Bacillati; Bacillota; Bacilli; Lactobacillales; Lactobacillaceae. The record is from RNAcentral.